UACGAAGGGGGCUAGCGUUGCUCGGAAUUACUGGGCGUAAAGGGCGCGUAGGCGGACGUUUAAGUCGGGGGUGAAAGCCCGGGGCUCAACCUCGGAAUUGCCUUCGAUACUGGACGUCUUGAGUACGGGAGAGGUGAGUGGAACUCCGAGUGUAGAGGUGGAAUUCGUAGAUAUUCGGAAGAACACCAGUGGCGAAGGCGGCUCACUGGACUGGUAUUGACGCUGAGGUGCGAAAGCGUGGGGAGCAAACAGG
RNAcentral lists this ribosomal RNA (253 nucleotides) under uncultured bacterium. RNAcentral's name for it is "partial 16S ribosomal RNA". It matches the Rfam family "Bacterial small subunit ribosomal RNA", at positions 524 to 776 of the family's 1533-position model. The record is from RNAcentral.